ACCCUUUAAUGUUUGAUGUUCUAACGUGGACCCGUGAUCCGGGUUGCGGACAGUGUCUGGUGGGUAGUUUGACUGGGGCGGUCUCCUCCUAAAGAGUAACGGAGGAGCACGAAGGUUGGCUAAUCCUGGUCGGACAUCAGGAGGUUAGUGCAAUGGCAUAAGCCAGCUUGACUGCGAGCGUGACGGCGCGAGCAGGUGCGAAAGCAGGUCAUAGUGAUCCGGUGGUUCUGAAUGGAAGGGCCAUCGCUCAACGGAUAAAAGGUACUCCGGGGAUAACAGGCUGAUACCGCCCAAGAGUUCAUAUCGACGGCGGUGUUUGGCACCUCGAUGUCGGCUCAUCACAUCCUGGGGCUGAAGUAGGUCCCAAGGGUAUGGCUGUUCGCCAUUUAAAGUGGUACGCGAGCUGGGUUUAGAACGUCGUGAGACAGUU
This 430-nucleotide ribosomal RNA is filed under the name Salmonella enterica. RNAcentral's name for it is "partial 23S ribosomal RNA". It matches the Rfam family "Bacterial large subunit ribosomal RNA", at positions 2202 to 2631 of the family's 2925-position model. Lineage: Bacteria; Pseudomonadati; Pseudomonadota; Gammaproteobacteria; Enterobacterales; Enterobacteriaceae. The record is from RNAcentral.